RNAcentral lists this transfer RNA (78 nucleotides) under Bacillota bacterium. RNAcentral describes it as "Firmicutes bacterium (anaerobic digester metagenome) tRNA-Pro". It matches the Rfam family "tRNA". Rfam says of the family: Transfer RNA (tRNA) molecules are approximately 80 nucleotides in length. Their secondary structure includes four short double-helical elements and three loops (D, anti-codon, and T loops). Lineage: Bacteria; Bacillati; Bacillota. The record is from RNAcentral.
CGGGGCGUAGCGCAGUUUGGCUAGCGCGCCUGAAUGGGGUUCAGGAGGUCGCGAGUUCAAGUCUCGCCGCUCCGACCA